Molecule: ribosomal RNA, 301 nt
Filed under: uncultured bacterium
Lineage: Bacteria
Description: partial 16S ribosomal RNA
Rfam family: Bacterial small subunit ribosomal RNA
Source: RNAcentral
CAGUCGCCGCGGUAAUACAGAGGGUGCAAGCGUUAAUCGGAAUUACUGGGCGUAAAGCGUGCGCAGGCGGUUAUAUAAGACAGAUGUGAAAUCCCCGGGCUCAACCUGGGAACUGCAUUUGUGACUGUAUAGCUAGAGUACGGCAGAGGGGGAUGGAAUUCCGCGUGUAGCAGUGAAAUGCGUAGAUAUGCGGAGGAACACCGAUGGCGAAGGCAAUCCCCUGGGCCUGUACUGACGCUCAUGCACGAAAGCGUGGGGAGCAAACAGGAUUAGAUACCCCAGUAGUCCCUGUCUCUUAUAC